UACGUAGGUGGCAAGCGUUAUCCGGAAUUAUUGGGCGUAAAGCGCGCGUAGGCGGUUUUUUAAGUCUGAUGUGAAAGCCCACGGCUCAACCGUGGAGGGUCAUUGGAAACUGGAAAACUUGAGUGCAGAAGAGGAAAGUGGAAUUCCAUGUGUAGCGGUGAAAUGCGCAGAGAUAUGGAGGAACACCAGUGGCGAAGGCGACUUUCUGNGUCUGUAACUGACGCUGAUGUGCGAAAGCGUGGGGAUCAA
RNAcentral lists this ribosomal RNA (249 nucleotides) under uncultured Staphylococcus sp. RNAcentral's name for it is "partial 16S ribosomal RNA". It matches the Rfam family "Bacterial small subunit ribosomal RNA", at positions 524 to 771 of the family's 1533-position model. Lineage: Bacteria; Bacillati; Bacillota; Bacilli; Caryophanales; Staphylococcaceae. The record is from RNAcentral.